CCUCCGUCCGAACAGAGAUUGGCCAUCGGGGAAGCCACGCGGUUCUGCGAUCGAUGAGUUUGCUUCUCCGUCGGAGCCUCCACCACGCUCGAGAAGGAAAGAGAAGACAGGGUUUGCGCACGUUCCGACGGAGGUUCGUCGCGGUCCUGCUUCGAGAGCCGCCUUUUUACGAGACCUUUUGUUGCUUCACCCGUAGCCAUCGAACCUGGUCCCCCCCCUC
Molecule: long non-coding RNA, 220 nt
Filed under: Spirodela polyrhiza (greater duckweed)
Lineage: Eukaryota; Viridiplantae; Streptophyta; Magnoliopsida; Alismatales; Araceae
Description: long non-coding RNA (SPOL_LNC000156)
Source: RNAcentral